AGGACUCUUCCUCGGGCAUCCCAAGAGCCACCUGGCCUCUGGCCUCACACCUGGGAUGUUUCAUCUUGAAGUAUCUGGUUGACCUGCCUUUCCACUCUCUGCCUCCUACUCCUAAUUGGAAUCCGGGGAGUUGUGAAUGUGUGUUUGGGUAGAAGCAAGAAUUGUUCCACCACCUGGAGGUUCAGCAGGCACACCGCUGUGGUGUUUACGUUUGUGUGAAGGUUUCUUAGCAGGAAGACAUGGGUUCUCCUUCCCGCCCACGAAUAUUCCAAGGUGUGGAGAUGGUCACACUACAGAGAUAUGUAAUAGAAAAGAAGAUGAAAAUGGCUUCAAGUCCCUUCCUGCCUACCUGGAGGAAGUAGAAGAGUGAACCUACAAACAAAAAUAGUUGUUUCCCUAAGUUCAUAAAAA
Long non-coding RNA from Orcinus orca (killer whale), 411 nucleotides. RefSeq lists it as uncharacterized. The transcript has 3 exons. NCBI's taxonomy places the organism in Eukaryota, Metazoa, Chordata, Mammalia, Artiodactyla, Delphinidae. The record is from RefSeq and is a predicted model, not a curated record.